RNAcentral lists this ribosomal RNA (468 nucleotides) under uncultured bacterium. Its description in RNAcentral is "partial 16S ribosomal RNA". It matches the Rfam family "Bacterial small subunit ribosomal RNA", at positions 28 to 507 of the family's 1533-position model. The record is from RNAcentral.
GACGAACGCUGCCGGCGUGCUUAACACAUGCAAGUCGAACGGUGAAGCUCCAGCUUGCUGGAGUGGAUCAGUGGCGAACGGGUGAGUAACACGUGAGCAACCUGCCCCUGACUCUGGAAUAAGCGCUGGAAACGGCGUCUAAUACUGGAUACGAGAAGGGUCCGCAUGGGCACUUUCUGGAAAGUUUUUCGGUUGGGGAUGGGCUCGCGGCCUAUCAGCUUGUUGGUGAGGUAAUGGCUCACCAAGGCGACGACGGGUAGCCGGCCUGAGAGGGCGACCGGCCACACUGGGACUGAGACACGGCCCAGACUCCUACGGGAGGCAGCAGUGGGGAAUAUUGCACAAUGGGCGAAAGCCUGAUGCAGCGACGCCGCGUGAGGGAUGACGGCCUUCGGGUUGUAAACCUCUUUCAGCAGGGAAGAAGCGAAAGUGACGGUACCUGCAGAAGAAGCACCGGCUAACUACGUG